UUCCCCUAGUAACUGCGAGUGAAGCGGGAAAAGCUCAAAUUUAAAAUCUGGCGGUCUUUUGGCUGUCCGAGUUGUAAUCUAGAGAAGUGUUAUCCGCGCUGGACCGUGUACAAGUCUCCUGGAAUGGAGCGUCAUAGAGGGUGAGAAUCCCGUCUUUGACAUGGACUACCAGGGCUUUGUGAUGCGCUCUCAAAGAGUCGAGUUGUUUGGGAAUGCAGCUCAAAAUGGGUGGUAAAUUCCAUCUAAAGCUAAAUAUUGGCGAGAGACCGAUAGCGAACAAGUACCGUGAGGGAAAGAUGAAAAGAACUUUGGAAAGAGAGUUAAACAGUACGUGAAAUUGCUGAAAGGGAAACGCUUGAAGUCAGUCGCGUCAUCCAGGGAUCAACCUUGCUUUUGCUUGGUGCACUUUCUGGUUUGAUGGGUCAGCAUCAAUUUUGACCAUUGGAAAAAGGCCAAGGGAAUGUGGCAUCUUCGGAUGUGUUAUAGCCUUUGGUCACAUACAAUGGUUGGGAUUGAGGAACUCAGCACGCCGCAAGGCCGGGUUUUAAACCACGUUCGUGCUUAGGAUGCUGGCAAUAUGGCUUUAAUCGACCCGUCUUGAAACACGGACCAAGGAGUCUAACAUGCCUGCGAGUGUUUGGGUGGAAAACCCGAGCGCGUAAUGAAAGUGAAAGGUUGAGAUCCCUGUCGUGGGGAGCAUCGACGCCCGGACCAGACCUUUUGUGACGGUUCCGCGGUAGAGCAUGUAUGUUGGGACCCGAAAGAUGGUGAACUAUGCCUGAAUAGGGUGAAUCCAGAGGAAACUCUGGUGGAGGCUCGUAGCGAUUCUGACGUGCAAAUCGAUCGUCAAAUUUGGGUAUAGGGGCGAAAGACU
Molecule: ribosomal RNA, 874 nt
Filed under: Cortinarius sp. 1 TM02_362
Lineage: Eukaryota; Fungi; Basidiomycota; Agaricomycetes; Agaricales; Cortinariaceae
Description: eukaryotic LSU rRNA
Rfam family: Eukaryotic large subunit ribosomal RNA
Source: RNAcentral